GACUCCCAGUCGAAGAGGCGACUUUAAUUCAAAUCCGGAACAGUUGCCGAGUCGACUCCAGAAAAGCAUGAGUCGACUCCCGCUACAGCCGAGUCAACUCCUGCUACAGCCGAGUCGACUCCUGAUCGCGCGAGUCGACUCCAACCCACCAACGGACAUAUUGUCAGGCUGUGCAGAGUGUGCAGAACGGGCAGAAAAAGGUCUCUAACGGCUAGUUUCCGUGGAGGAUGGCUUAAAUAGCCACAGAAGACUGUAGCAAGGCAGAGAACAACCAUUCCACUCAAAGUAAUCAAGCUUUCAAUCUCUGCAACCUGGUUUUCAACGGAAAAGAGGGAAGAGCAACAUUAACUGCAUCCACCUACUUCUUCCCAACAUUGAAAGAGAUCUCCUCCUGCAUUCAAGUCGACC
RNAcentral lists this long non-coding RNA (408 nucleotides) under Phoenix dactylifera (date palm). RNAcentral's name for it is "long non-coding RNA (PDAC_LNC013067)". Lineage: Eukaryota; Viridiplantae; Streptophyta; Magnoliopsida; Arecales; Arecaceae. The record is from RNAcentral.